Molecule: ribosomal RNA, 253 nt
Filed under: uncultured bacterium
Lineage: Bacteria
Description: partial 16S ribosomal RNA
Rfam family: Bacterial small subunit ribosomal RNA
Source: RNAcentral
UACGAAGGGACCUAGCGUUGUUCGGAAUUACUGGGCGUAAAGGGCGCGUAGGCGGUUUUUUAAGUCAGAUGUGAAAGCCCUGGGCUCAACCUGGGAGGUGCAUUUGAUACUGAGAGACUAGAGUUCGAGAGGGGGUAGCGGAAUUGCGAGUGUAGAGGUGAAAUUCGUAGAUAUUCGCAGGAACACCAGUGGCGAAGGCGGCUACCUGGCUCGAUACUGACGCUAAUGCGCGAAAGCGUGGGGAGCAAACAGG